AUAUGCACAGCAUGAAUUUUCCCCUAUAACGAUUGAUAAACGACACUUAUUUGAGGCGAAAAAUUGAUUAUUUGCUUCAUUAAUCAAUAAAUUUAUCUAAUGCAAUAAAUUACACCAACCACAACAACAAGCGAUAAACAGCCUACAUCUACAAGCUAUCUCAAUUGACAAGUUAAAAACCGAAACGAAACGAGGCGAGUAAUAUUUUUUUACUAUUACCAUGUACGAAGGGACACGAUCGAUGAACGCCUGCAACUCGGUAUUCCCUGAAUGCCUACCAACCAAUCUUCUACCUUCACCAUUGAGUACCAGCGCGGCUAAUUGCUCCAUGUUGCCGGUCUCCAGCAACUUC
Molecule: long non-coding RNA, 352 nt
Organism: Apis florea (little honeybee)
Lineage: Eukaryota; Metazoa; Arthropoda; Insecta; Hymenoptera; Apidae
Source: RefSeq, a predicted model, not a curated record